Molecule: ribosomal RNA, 253 nt
Filed under: uncultured bacterium
Lineage: Bacteria
Description: partial 16S ribosomal RNA
Rfam family: Bacterial small subunit ribosomal RNA
Source: RNAcentral
UACGUAGGGUGCAAGCGUUGUCCGGAAUUAUUGGGCGUAAAGAGCUCGUAGGCGGUCUGUUGCGUCGGCUGUGAAAACCCGGGGCUCAACUCCGGGCCUGCAGCCGAUACGGGCAGACUAGAGUUCGGCAGGGGAGACUGGAACUCCUGGUGUAGCGGUGAAAUGCGCAGAUAUCAGGAGGAACACCGGUGGCGAAGGCGGGUCUCUGGGCCGAUACUGACGCUGAGGAGCGAAAGCGUGGGGAGCGAACAGG